UACUAGGGGGGCGAGCGUUGUUCGGAAUCACUGGGCGUAAAGAGUGCGUAGGCGGUUAUGAAAGUUAGGAGUGAAAGCCCAGGGCUCAACCUUGGAAUUGCUCUUAAUACUACAUAACUCGAAUUCGGGACAGGAUAGCGGAAUUCUCAGUGUAGCAGUGAAAUGCGUAGAUAUUGAGAGGAACACCAGUGGCGUAAGCGGCUAUCUGGACCGACAUUGACGCUGAGGCACGAAAGCGUGGGGAUCAAACAGG
This 253-nucleotide ribosomal RNA is filed under the name uncultured bacterium. RNAcentral describes it as "partial 16S ribosomal RNA". It matches the Rfam family "Bacterial small subunit ribosomal RNA", at positions 524 to 776 of the family's 1533-position model. The record is from RNAcentral.